RNAcentral lists this ribosomal RNA (253 nucleotides) under uncultured bacterium. RNAcentral's name for it is "partial 16S ribosomal RNA". It matches the Rfam family "Bacterial small subunit ribosomal RNA", at positions 524 to 776 of the family's 1533-position model. The record is from RNAcentral.
UACGUAGGGGGCAAGCGUUGUCCGGAUUUAUUGGGCGUAAAGAGCGUGUAGGCGGCUGGGUAGGUCCGCUGUGAAAACUCGAGGCUUAACCUCGAGACGUCGGUGGAAACCAUCCAGCUAGAGUCCGGAAGAGGAGAGUGGAAUUCCUGGUGUAGCGGUGAAAUUCGUAGAUAUUCGCAAGAACACCAGUGGCGAAGGCGGCUCACUGGCCCGGUACUGACGCUGAGGUGCGAAAGCGUGGGGAGCAAACAGG